GGUGCAAGCGUUGUCCGGAAUUAUUGGGCGUAAAGAGCUCGUAGGCGGUCUGUCGCGUCUGCUGUGAAAACUCAGGGCUUAACCCUGAGCUUGCAGUGGGUACGGGCAGACUAGAGUGCGGUAGGGGAGACUGGAAUUCCUGGUGUAGCGGUGAAAUGCGCAGAUAUCAGGAGGAACACCGGUGGCGAAGGCGGGUCUCUGGGCCGUAACUGACGCUGAGGAGCGAAAGCAUGGGGAGCGAACAGG
Molecule: ribosomal RNA, 246 nt
Filed under: uncultured bacterium
Lineage: Bacteria
Description: partial 16S ribosomal RNA
Rfam family: Bacterial small subunit ribosomal RNA
Source: RNAcentral